GAUGAACGCUGGCGGCGUGCCUAAUACAUGCAAGUAGAACGCUGAAGGAAGGAGCUUGCUCUUUCCGGAUGAGUUGCGAACGGGUGAGUAACGCGUAGGUAACCUGCCUGGUAGCGGGGGAUAACUAUUGGAAACGAUAGCUAAUACCGCAUAACAGUAGAUGUUGCAUGAUAUCUACUUAAAAGGUGCAAUUGCACCACUACCAGAUGGACCUGCGUUGUAUUAGCUAGUUGGUGAGGUAACGGCUCACCAAGGCGACGAUACAUAGCCGGCCUGAGAGGGUGAUCGGCCACACUGGGACUGAGACACGGCCCAGACUCCUACGGGAGGCAGCAGUAGGGAAUCUUCGGCAAUGGACGGAAGUCUGACCGAGCAACGCCGCGUGAGUGAAGAAGGUUUUCGGAUCGUAAAGCUCUGUUGUAAGAGAAGAACGAGUGUGAGAGUGGAAAGUUCACACUGUGACGGUAUCUUACCAGAAAGGGACGGCUAACUACGUG
This 497-nucleotide ribosomal RNA is filed under the name uncultured bacterium. RNAcentral's name for it is "partial 16S ribosomal RNA". It matches the Rfam family "Bacterial small subunit ribosomal RNA", at positions 28 to 507 of the family's 1533-position model. The record is from RNAcentral.